Molecule: long non-coding RNA, 861 nt
Organism: Drosophila albomicans
Lineage: Eukaryota; Metazoa; Arthropoda; Insecta; Diptera; Drosophilidae
Exons: 3
Source: RefSeq, a predicted model, not a curated record
GCUAGCACACUCUCGAGCAUUUCAUUAAUUUCGUUAUUUUACAAAAGCAAUUGCAAAAUCAAUAGUAAUGUAGUAAACCCCCCAAAAAACGAAGAGAAAAGAACUAGUCCAAAAAAUUGUAGAGUGCUUCGAAUUGGCAGCGUAUCGUCGUCUGGCUGAUUUCUAUUUGAAAAGUACCUCGGCGAUGCCGCCAGCAGCGUUUAUUAUACGAGAAUAAUAGCAAAACGAGCAGAUCGAAUAAAAUCGCAACGAAUUGAACCAUCGACCAAAACGACCGCAGGUGCAUAGCGUUCUGUUCUGUUCUGUGCUGUUCCGUUUUGGGGAGUCUCCGACUCGUGAAAUACAAAUUUCGGCAGCUGGCGGCAAGUGCACUUGAAGUAGCUCGUUGCCCAAAAAAAAAGCGCGCGCGGCAACAACUGUGAACUGAAUCAAGUAGAACUCGCAACUCGCACUCACAUUUGCACACUUCGCCUGACGAGUCUUUAACCAAAAACGAAUAUUUGAAUAAACUUGCAUUGCGAUGCGAAGCUACAUUGACAGCAUCAGGGAGGGUGUCGUCUUGUAAGUGGAGGAAUUCAGUAUGUUGUGUGUGUGUGUGUGCUGCCCUUAUGCUGAAUAUGUGCAUAAAUGCAUGUUGAGUAUAGUACAACAAUAACAAGAGUGGCAAGCAAACAAACGCAAAAACGCAAACUCAAUUGUCAUCACCAUAAAAAUAACAUAAAACUCUUUUUACGACUUCGUGGUUGCGUUUGUGCGUGUGCAAGAACUACAUAUACACAGACAUACAUAUAUGUGAUAUAUAAUAUGAAUAUGUGUCUGGUAGGGGUAAUCAGACAUGGUGAAAUAAAAUGUUGUCUUGGC